This 106-nucleotide small nuclear RNA is filed under the name Myotis brandtii (Brandt's bat). Lineage: Eukaryota; Metazoa; Chordata; Mammalia; Chiroptera; Vespertilionidae. The record is from RNAcentral.
GUGCUCGCUUCGGCAGCACAUAUACUAAAAUUGGAACGAUACAGAGAAGAUUAGCAUGGCCCCUCGCAAGGAUGUUACCCGUCAUAUCCACGUGGCCUCUCCCAUU